Molecule: ribosomal RNA, 165 nt
Filed under: Zingiber capitatum
Lineage: Eukaryota; Viridiplantae; Streptophyta; Magnoliopsida; Zingiberales; Zingiberaceae
Description: 5.8S ribosomal RNA
Rfam family: 5.8S ribosomal RNA
About the family: 5.8S ribosomal RNA (5.8S rRNA) is a component of the large subunit of the eukaryotic ribosome. It is transcribed by RNA polymerase I as part of the 45S precursor that also contains 18S and 28S rRNA.
Source: RNAcentral
CAAACGACUCUCGGCAAUGGAUAUCUCGGCUCUUGCAUCGAUGAAGAACGUAGUGAAAUGCGAUACUUGGUGUGAAUUGCAGAAUCUCGUGAACCAUUGAGUCUUUGAACGCAAGUUGUGCCCGAGGCCUUGUGGCCGAGGGCACGCCUGCUUGGGCGUCAUGGC